CUCCCGGUUCCAGCCCCCACUCUAUUUUUCUCCUCUACCUCUUGCUGCCGAUUUCUCUGAACAAAUUAGUAAUCAAUGGUAUAUGGAUCUCAUGACGCCCAUCUUGUGGUGAAUUAAUCUCGUGGUUGAACCUUUUGAUAGUAUAGUGGUCAGUGGUGAACGUCCAUCUAGCAUCGCAAGUCCACCCCUCAUCAUGUCAUUUUGCUAUGCAGAUGCAAGAAAGGGUUGGGGUGCUGCCUAUGGGAGUGAUUAUGUGCGAGCUAAAUCUGGUCUUGUGUAAUGCAAGACUAUGAUGGAGAGGGACCUCCUGUGAGAGGCACAUGACGAUGCAGAUGUCUUGCAUCUGUGCCCAACAACUGUUUAUGUUUAAACCUGAAUAAAAACUGCUUUGUGUAGUGUUACGGCUGAGGAUUUAAUUUGCUUUCCCUUGCCCAAAUCUUGCAUGAACUUUGUUACCUAACAUGUUAUCACAUGCUUUUCUUAAUGCAGGCAAUAAUUGCUAUUGGUUGCCUAUUAGAUGCUUCCGUUGAUGCAUUAUAGAACUGAAUUGGUAGCAUUGGUUGCCUAUUAGAUGCUUUUUUGUAGAUAUUUAUUUUAUUUAUUGUGAGAGCCGAGAACAUUUGUGUCAAAGUUUUCUGAGUCUCCACGCCACUGUCUCCUUCCACUGGAACUUAGGCGCUCCUCCCGCCGCCGUGUAUUUAGAGGUAAAGGAACAAGCACUCAGAUGUGAUGUUACUGUAAUGUGAAUUCUAACAAGUAUUCUCUUUUCUGAAUUUUUUCUGAUAAUUCAGUGCCUCUUUUAUCUGUAUAAUUUCGUUUUCUGACAAACUGGAUUGCACUUCAUGUGCAGAAUUUGGGUUAAUGUGCUGGAACACGGACAUACCUUUUCGCAGAUCCCUAUGUUUUUGUAGAGUUAUAGGUACCAUAGGCAAUUCAUUUUCACGACGAUGCUUGGCUGAUAUAUGCAUAGCAAAGGGAAAUAGGAGCACGGUUUAUUGGCACAGUUCAUUAGUGUUGCAUAAUUCAGGGAUUUUAGCAAGUUAGGUGGUCAAUUUUAAGUUGUUUUUUUUACUAAAUGGUUAAAUUGAUACUGAUUUUCAUUAACUUGAUUGUUCAUCGUGCUUAAGCUGGUUAUAAAAAAUAAAUAAGUUUUUUUUCCUUUUUAUGGUUCAACAUGCUUAUGUUGCAUACUGUUUUUACUGAGUUGUUUGUUCAACAUGGUUAAGUUGUGUACUACAUAUAGAUAAGCUUGACUUCACAUCAUGAUUUUUUUGGAUUGAUUUUAACAUCUAAUUUAGUUUAGAUAUUUAGCAACAUCCUUUUCAGUUGCAUACUGAUUUGAACGAGUUGUUUUUCCAACUUUGCUUGAAUUUGAGUUCAACUAAAUGUGCCGCAGUAAAAUGAUUUAAUUAAGUUUCCUUUUUUAUCAUCAUCUUUUUUUAGUUUACCACUGAAUUGAAUUAAGCUUGCUUCUAUCAGCAUAGUUAAGUUGUGCCAUCUUCUAACUAAGUUUGUUUAGAUACCAUGCUACUAGAAAAUAGUAACAUACUGGAUUUACCAAGUUCCAAGUGCUAAAAAGUGCUUGAAUGCUAUUUGUCCAACUAACCACUCGGUUAUGGACCGUCCAUGCAUCCUGGACGAGGCGAUCGCACGCCGCGUCCCGACCGACGUCCCGACAGAAACCAUCUGGCUCCGACCAAAGUCAACAAAUCCCACCUGUGUACGGGUCGUAACACCCCCUUCUCUCUCCCCAGAGCCAUCCCCAUUUCUCUGUCCCGCGGUAAUUUCGUCGGCGGAGAGGGGGUGGGUGCGAGGGAGCAGGCGUUGAGCUCGUUGGAGAAGCGUUAGUCAUUCUGUAGCUAUAUAGUAAUUCUUACUAUUAUUGUGUUCAUCUGUGUUGAGUGAGAAAUAUAAAGUUAAAUGUGAUUGGUUUAUACGACAAUAAAAGUUGCAAUAGCUACCAGAUUGUUGUCCCUUUUUCACUGCCCCUUUUUGUAAGAAUGCGAGCUUGAGGCUUUGAUGAUAUUUGCUCUUUUUGUGUGGGGGGAAUUGUUUUGCUUUGAUUCACUGUCGCUUUUCCCAAUUAAGUUGCCUUUUUUACCCUAGUUAAGUUGCUUUUCAGCUUAAAACUAAGUUGAUAGCUAGAUUCUCCUAAGUUCUUAUCAUGUUUCAUUAAUUUGACUGGACAUAUAGAUUAAGCCAAGUUGAUUAUCAUGUUUCUUAGGUUGAUUAACCACUUCAGAUUAAGUUGCUUUACACUUUUCUCCGAAGUUGCGUACCCUGUUUCAUUAAGUUGAUCAAUGACUUUAGCUUAUGUUGCUUUACACUAAGUCCUAAAUCGAUUAUCUCAUUUCAUUAAGUUGAUUAACGACUUUAGCUUAAUUUGUUUUCUAGAUUAUCUUAUUUACUAUCACUUUUAAUUAAAUUGAUUAGCCUCUUUAGCUUAAGUUUCUCCCCACUUUUAAACUAAGUUGCUUAUCCCAUUUAGUUAGGUUGAUUCACUUUAUCUUAACCUUCUUCCCACUUUACCCUAUGUUGCUUCUCUCAUUUAAUUAAGUUACUUUGUCACUUUAUUUUAAGUUUAUUCCGACAUUAUCCUAAGUUGCAUAUCCUGUUUCAUUAAGUUGAUUAUCCAUUUCGGCUUAAGUUGCUUUUAAACUUUUACCUAAGUUGCUUAUCCCUUUGAAUUAAGUUGAUUGGCUACUUUAGCAUAAAUUUAUUCCCACUUUAUCAUAAUUAAGUUGAUUAGUUACUUUACCAUAAGUUGCUUUUCCAAUUUACCCUAAGAUGCUUAUCGCUUGCUUGCUAUUGCUGUGUUCGUUUCGAUUAGGCAGACAUAUCACAAACUGCUUACCCAUGUACUUAGGAAGUUGUUUUUUAAUUUCCCAUUAUCUCAAUGUGAUGUUUUGGUCACACCCUUUGGAUGUGCCUUUAUUUGUUUUGUAACAUGGUAUUUUUUUAGUUUCACGUGUGCAAUGUCCAUCGAGGGCGAGGUGUUUUUUUUACUUCCAUCAUCUUCUAUAUUAAUUAAGUUGCUUUUGAAAAAAUGCAUAAGUUACUUUUGUUGUCUCACUAAGCUGGUUCUAUCAUCCAAACUAAGUUGAUUACAGUCGAUGAUUUAGCCUGUUAGCAUGCCUCACUUUCUCUAUAAUCUCCCUAAGUUACUUUUUGUCAACAUUCUUUAAGUUUUUGAGUUACACCAAAAUGCCCCUAAGUAGCAUACCAAUUUAAUUAAGUUGCUUCUUGUCAUCCUUCUAAGUUGCUUUCUGAGACUAAAGAAGUUGUUUUACAUAACCUAACUAAGUUUCUUUCCACCAUGCAUUUAAUUUUUGGUUAAACAACCAAUAGUGUUCCUUAGCUUAAUAAUGAUUUUAAUUAGGAACUUAUUUUUCUAGCACACAAACUUGAAAUCUGAUAACACAGAAAAUAACAAAAGAGGCGAACAAGCGUUCUCGCUUCCGUUUACCAGAAGUUGAUGCAGCAGCAGGGAAUCGUCGAGGGCCUCGUCCGGAAACUUACCAGCAGGUGCUUAUUUGUGAUAUUGCUAAGUUGCACCGGGAAGCUAUGGAUCCUGGGCAGUGUAGGUAGUACCAUCUCCAGCGCCAUAGUGGAGGAGGCCAUGGCGCCUAGCUUGAGGAGGUGGCGGCGCCCACAAUUCCUAUCGCGAGCGCAAGCCUGCCGUGGCUGCUGGCCGACGAGAAGAUCGUGUGUUGUUUUGUGAUCUACUCGCACUUUUCAGUUAAAUCUAGAUUCCGUGGAGUUUUGGAAGAGAAAGAAGACAUGGAGUAGUCCGUCUUGCAGAAAGGAAGAAAUUCUAGAGUAACUUGUCUUGCAGAAGAGCCGGAGUAGUUUGUCACAACAUUGAUGUCUGCUGUUUUUUACCUUACGUGUAACAUCCCCUUUUCUUAUUUGGAUGCUAUACAAACAUUGUUUUUACCUUACGUGUAUUUUCUUGUCUUUAUCUUA
This is a long non-coding RNA of Lolium perenne, 3966 nucleotides long. RefSeq lists it as uncharacterized. The record is from RefSeq and is a predicted model, not a curated record. Lineage: Eukaryota; Viridiplantae; Streptophyta; Magnoliopsida; Poales; Poaceae.